CUUUCUUUGCUGGCGACCGGCGCACGGGUGAGUAACACGUAUCCAACCGGCCCUUUACUCGGGGAUAGCCUUUCGAAAGAAAGAUUAAUACCCGAUAGCAUAAUGAUUCCGCAUGGUUUCAUUAUUAAAGGAUUCCGGUAAAGGAUGGGGAUGCGUUCCAUUAGGUUGUUGGUGAGGUAACGGCUCACCAAGCCUUCGAUGGAUAGGGGUUCUGAGAGGAAGGUCCCCCACAUUGGAACUGAGACACGGUCCAA
This 254-nucleotide ribosomal RNA is filed under the name uncultured bacterium. Its description in RNAcentral is "partial 16S ribosomal RNA". It matches the Rfam family "Bacterial small subunit ribosomal RNA", at positions 79 to 334 of the family's 1533-position model. The record is from RNAcentral.